AGCGAACGCUGGCGGCAGGCUUAACACAUGCAAGUCGAACGAACCCUUCGGGGUUAGUGGCGGACGGGUGAGUAACACGUGGGAACGUGCCCUUAGGUUCGGAACAACACAGGGAAACUUGUGCUAAUACCGGAUGUGCCCUUACGGGGAAGAUUUAUCGCCUUUGGAGCGGCCCGCGUCUGAUUAGCUUGUUGGUGAGGUAAAGGCUCACCAAGGCUACGAUCAGUAGCUGGUCUGAGAGGANGGCCAGCCACAUUGGGACUGAGACACGGCCCAAACUCCUACGGGAGGCAGCAGUGGGGAAUCUUGCGUAA
Molecule: ribosomal RNA, 314 nt
Filed under: uncultured bacterium
Lineage: Bacteria
Description: bacterial SSU rRNA
Rfam family: Bacterial small subunit ribosomal RNA
Source: RNAcentral